RNAcentral lists this ribosomal RNA (385 nucleotides) under uncultured bacterium. RNAcentral describes it as "bacterial SSU rRNA". It matches the Rfam family "Bacterial small subunit ribosomal RNA", at positions 30 to 415 of the family's 1533-position model. The record is from RNAcentral.
AUUGAACGCUGGCGGCAGGCCUAACACAUGCAAGUCGAGCGGUAGAGAGGUGCUUGCAUCUCUUGAGAGCGGCGGACGGGUGAGUAAUGCCUAGGAAUCUGCCUAGUGGUGGGGGAUAACGUUCGGAAACGGACGCUAAUACCGCAUACGUCCUACGGGAGAAAGCGGGGGAUCUUCGGACCUCGCGCCAUUAGAUGAGCCUAGGUCGGAUUAGCUAGUUGGUGAGGUAAUGGCUCACCAAGGCGACGAUCCGUAACUGGUCUGAGAGGAUGAUCAGUCACACUGGAACUGAGACACGGUCCAGACUCCUACGGGAGGCAGCAGUGGGGAAUAUUGGACAAUGGGCGAAAGCCUGAUCCAGCCAUGCCGCGUGUGUGAAGAAGGU